GCCUGGGUUCGUAUUAUCGGAUUCGACAACGUUCGUCAAGUCCAGUGCAUCAGCUUCAUUGCCUACAAGCCAGAAGGAUUCUAAAUUUCCAAACAUAUAAUCAAAAUGUUUGUUUGAUUUGUACCUAAGUCUUUAAUUUUUUUUCUUCAAUUUUUGUUUUGCAUUUUGUUCCUAUUUGUACCGGUGUAUUUUCUUCGAUUCCGACCAAGUUAUGAGAAAUUAAUAAUGAUGAAUCGGUGGUUAUAUGUUUAAUCAUGUGUUCUUUUUUUAAAAAAUUUGUGUGGUGUGAAUGAGUUUUAUUAUCCA
RNAcentral lists this long non-coding RNA (306 nucleotides) under Solanum lycopersicum (tomato). RNAcentral describes it as "long non-coding RNA (SLYC_LNC001164)". The record is from RNAcentral. Lineage: Eukaryota; Viridiplantae; Streptophyta; Magnoliopsida; Solanales; Solanaceae.